CCUACGGGCGGCAGCAGUGGGGAAUAUUGGACAAUGGGGGGAACCCUGAUCCAGCGACGCCGCGUGAGUGAAGAAGUAUUUCGGUAUGUAAAGCUCUAUCAGCAGGGAAGAAAAUGACGGUACCUGACUAAGAAGCCCCGGCUAACUACGUGCCAGCAGCCGCGGUAAUACGUAGGGGGCAAGCGUUAUCCGGAUUUACUGGGUGUAAAGGGAGCGUAGACGGUGCAGCAAGUCUGAUGUGAAAGGUGGGGGCCCAACCCCGGGACUGCAUUGGAAACUGUUGAACUGGAGUACAGGAGAGGUAGGGGGAAGUCCUGGGGGAGCGGUGAAAGGCGGAGAUAGUAGGAGGAAC
Molecule: ribosomal RNA, 352 nt
Filed under: uncultured bacterium
Lineage: Bacteria
Description: partial 16S ribosomal RNA
Rfam family: Bacterial small subunit ribosomal RNA
Source: RNAcentral